AGGCAGCAGUGGGGAAUAUUGCACAAUGGGGGGAAACCCUGAUGCAGCCAUGCCGCGUGUGUGAAGAAGGCCUUCGGGUUGUAAAGCACUUUCAGUAGGGAGGAAGGUAGUGUAGUUAACACCUGCAUUAUUUGACGUUACCUACAGAAGAAGCACCGGCUAACUCCGUGCCAGCAGCCGCGGUAAUACGGAGGGUGCGAGCGUUAAUCGGAAUUACUGGGCGUAAAGCGCAUGCAGGCGGCCUGUUAAGUCAGAUGUGAAAGCCCGGGGCUUAACCUCGGAAUUGCAUUUGAAACUGGCAGGCUAGAGUCUUGUAGAGGGGGGUAGGAAUUUCAGGUGUAGCGGUGAAAUGCGUAGAGAUCUGAAGGAAUACCAGUGGCGAAGGCGGCCCCCUGGACAAAGACUGACGCUCAGAUGCGAAAGCGUGGGGAGCAAACAGGAUUAGAUACCCUGGUAG
RNAcentral lists this ribosomal RNA (457 nucleotides) under uncultured bacterium. RNAcentral describes it as "bacterial SSU rRNA". It matches the Rfam family "Bacterial small subunit ribosomal RNA", at positions 346 to 793 of the family's 1533-position model. The record is from RNAcentral.